CCUGAACGCUGGCGGCGUGGCUAAGACAUGCAAGUCGAACGGGUGUAGCAAUACACCAGUGGCGGACGGGUGAGUAAUGUAUCGCUAACGUGCCCUGGAAUCUGAGAUAGCCAAUCGAAAGGUUGGGUAAUACCAGAUGAAAUAUCCUUAUCGCAUGAUGAGGAUCUCAAAGGAGCAAUCCGGUCUGGGAGCGGGCGAUAUCGUAUCAGCUAGUUGGUGAGGUAACGGCUCACCAAGGCGACGACGCGUAGCCGGGGCUGAGAGGUCGGCCGGCCACAUUGGGACUGAGACACUG
RNAcentral lists this ribosomal RNA (295 nucleotides) under uncultured bacterium. RNAcentral's name for it is "partial 16S ribosomal RNA". It matches the Rfam family "Bacterial small subunit ribosomal RNA", at positions 30 to 329 of the family's 1533-position model. The record is from RNAcentral.